GACGAACGCUGGCGGCGUGCUUAACACAUGCAAGUCGAACGGAAAGGCCCUGCUUUUGUGGGGUGCUCGAGUGGCGAACGGGUGAGUAACACGUGAGUAACCUGCCCUUGACUUUGGGAUAACCUCAGGAAACUGGGGCUAAUACCGGAUAGGAGCUCCUGCUGCAUGGUGGGGGUUGGAAAGUUUCGGCGGUUGGGGAUGGACUCGCGGCUUAUCAGCUUGUUGGUGGGGUAGUGGCUUACCAAGGCUUUGACGGGUAGCCGGCCUGAGAGGGUGACCGGCCACAUUGGGACUGAGAUACGGCCCAGACUCCUACGGGAGGCAGCAGUGGGGAAUAUUGCACAAUGGGCGGAAGCCUGAUGCAGCAACGCCGCGUGCGGGAUGACGGCCUUCGGGUUGUAAACCGCUUUCGCCUGUGACGAAGCGUGAGUGACGGUAAUGGGUAAAGAAGCACCGGCUAACUACGUGCCAGCAGCCGCGGUGAUACGUAGGGUGCGAGCGUUGUCCGGAUUUAUUGGGCGUAAAGGGCUCGUAGGUGGUUGAUCGCGUCGGAAGUGUAAUCUUGGGGCUUAACCCUGAGCGUGCUUUCGAUACGGGUUGACUUGAGGAAGGUAGGGGAGAAUGGAAUUCCUGGUGGAGCGGUGGAAUGCGCAGAUAUCAGGAGGAACACCAGUGGCGAAGGCGGUUCUCUGGGCCUUUCCUGACGCUGAGGAGCGAAAGCGUGGGGAGCGAACAGGCUUAGAUACCCUGGUAGUCCACGCUGUAAACGGUGGGUACUAGGUGUGGGGUCCAUUCCACGGGUUCCGUGCCGUAGCUAACGCUUUAAGUACCCCGCCUGGGGAGUACGGCCGCAAGGCUAAAACUCAAAGGGAUUGACGGGGCCCCGCACAAGCGGCGGAGCAUGCGGAUUAAUUCGAUGCAACGCGUAGAACCUUACCUGGGUUUGACAUGGAUCGGGAGUGCUCAGAGAUGGGUGUGCCUCUUUUGGGGUCGGUUCACAGGUGGUGCAUGGCUGUCGUCAGCUCGUGUCGUGAGAUGUUGGGUUAAGUCCCGCAACGAGCGCAACCCUUGUUCACUGUUGCCAGCACGUUAUGGUGGGGACUCAGUGGAGACCGCCGGGGUCAACUCGGAGGAAGGUGGGGAUGACGUCAAGUCAUCAUGCCCCUUAUGUCCAGGGCUUCACGCAUGCUACAAUGGCUGGUACAGAGAGUGGCGAGCCUGUGAGGGUGAGCGAAUCUCGGAAAGCCGGUCUCAGUUCGGAUUGGGGUCUGCAACUCGACCUCAUGAAGUCGGAGUCGCUAGUAAUCGCAGAUCAGCAACGCUGCGGUGAAUACGUUCCCGGGGCU
This 1346-nucleotide ribosomal RNA is filed under the name uncultured bacterium. Its description in RNAcentral is "partial 16S ribosomal RNA". It matches the Rfam family "Bacterial small subunit ribosomal RNA", at positions 28 to 1381 of the family's 1533-position model. The record is from RNAcentral.